UUCUAUUCCCUAUUAAUCUUCUGGAGAAUCAUUUAAUGAGUUUCAUUAGUGUAUUAAUUUAAAACACAAUAAUUUAUUAAAUCACAUAUCAAAAAGAAUAAUCCAUUCUACACAAUACUAUAUAACAUAUAACAAACCAUUUCCAAUAUUGGAUUUCCAAGAUUGGAUUCUGAUUAUUAAUAAAUUAUUAACAAUUAUAAAAGUCUUCAAAACACUUACUUUUCCUGGCUGUAGCUCGCGUCUUCGGUCUCCUACCUUUCUGUUCUGGUACAUUAUUCUCCUUGUGAAGCACUCGUUGUGGCAGGAAUCGAUAAACGAGCUAAAUCAUAAUCAAUGGAAAAGUUUGUGAACCUACUUGUUAACACGCUAGGUUUGCCAAGAGCCAAGUACCGUUUCCUGGCAACCUGAACGGCCGCGAAGUCUGGCUUAUGAUUGUGCUCCAUACGCACCCUUGGCUUCGUCCAACUCGUGGUAGUGAUAAGACUGCCUCUACAAUGCAUAGUUCUGCGAACACAUCUCCAUCGGAUAUUGUACGGUUGCUUCUUGUGCAAUGUAUACAUAUAACCGUGGUGAAUUAAUUUUGGCCCGCCUUUAUUCGAUAGUACAACCUGCAGAGUUCGGAAUCUUUAAUUAGACGUUUCAUGUUCUAUAGUCAUAUGAAAGUACUAUUAAAUAUAAAAUUAAAUAUACUUAGAUCUAUUUAAUUAAUAU
RNAcentral lists this unclassified non-coding RNA (711 nucleotides) under Bombus terrestris (buff-tailed bumblebee). RNAcentral's name for it is "misc RNA ENSBTSG00005030934.1". The record is from RNAcentral. Lineage: Eukaryota; Metazoa; Arthropoda; Insecta; Hymenoptera; Apidae.